Molecule: non-coding RNA, 610 nt
Filed under: Puccinia triticina 1-1 BBBD Race 1
Lineage: Eukaryota; Fungi; Basidiomycota; Pucciniomycetes; Pucciniales; Pucciniaceae
Description: Eukaryotic large subunit ribosomal RNA
Rfam family: Eukaryotic large subunit ribosomal RNA
Source: Rfam by way of RNAcentral
GGUGGAAGUAGCAAAUAUUCAAGUGAGAACCUUGAAGACUGAAGUGGGGAAGGGUUCCAUGGUAACAGCAGUUGGACAUGGGUUAGUCGGUCCUAAGAAAUAGGGAACCUCCGUUUUAAAGAAAUGCUCUUGUUAGCAUCCACCUAUCGAAAGGGAAUGUAGUUAAAAUUCUACAACUGGGAUACAGAUUUUGACCGGCAACGUGAAUGAACUUGGUGACGUCUGCAGGGGCCCCAGGAAGAGUUUUCUUUUCUCCUUAACAAUCUGAAAACCUUGGAAGCGAAUUAUUCGGAGAUAGGGUUUAUGGAUGGGUGGGGGGAGCUUUUCCCCCCUUUGAGAGUCGGGGGGGGGCGUUGGGGGAGCCUCGGAAAAAAACGGGGGGUAAAAAAAAUUUUUUUGCCCCCCGCCCCCCACAUUUCCCCCCACGGGGCCCCCCGGGGAGAAACCUCCCUCUGGGAAAAUAAAAUAAAUGGAAAAAGGGGAAAUUGGAGAAAAAAAAAUUCCUAAAUUUUUGGAAAAAAGUAUGGGCUCUCAAGGGCAAAAAUUUGUUUGGGCCCCUUAAUAUUAUUUUUUAGGGACCUGGAAAAUAUGUAACUCUUCCGGGGGAAAA